Molecule: small nucleolar RNA, 144 nt
Organism: Grammomys surdaster
Lineage: Eukaryota; Metazoa; Chordata; Mammalia; Rodentia; Muridae
Product: small nucleolar RNA SNORA48
Exons: 1
Source: RefSeq, a predicted model, not a curated record
ACUUCCUGGCAAUGAGCAAAGAGACACGGUGUUGGCGAUGAUGUUCUUCUAUCAGUCAGGGCCAGAGCAGAUGGCAGUCCUUUGUUCAUCCUAGCCUGAUGUCUGGCUUGGUGGUCAAAGCUAUUUUAUGCUUAGGACUCAUAA